GUCGCAACGAGUGUUCGAAUAUCUGAGCAGAAUCAGACUUUUGGAUUUAUUCAUUUGCAGACAUUAAUUGGAGAUUGCUGGCAGUGUGCGUGUUGCAAGACAUACUUUGAAACACUUCGGAGAAAGUACAAUUUGUCUCAGCCAGAAAAGUCCCAGCUAAGAGAUGCCAUUAAAACAGGAGCUAAAAACCGACAAAGGAAAAGACGGGUAAGUGUAGAAAUUCAUCAACUUGUCUUUAAAGGGAUAGUUCACCCCAAAUUGAAAAUUCUGUUAUUUUCUUCUGAUAACCACAAAAGAAAAUAUUUUUAGGAAUGUUUGAAAUCAAACUGAUCAUGAGCUCCAAUCACUUCCAUAGUAUUUUUUUUCUACUUUAAAGUCAAUGGGGCUCAUGAUUGGUUGGAUUAUAAACAUUCCAUCUUUUGUGGUUAUCAGAAGAAAAUAACAAUUUUCAAUUUGGGGUGAACUAUCCCUUUAGGCCAAAACCAAUCAAGUCACUAUGCUAUGAGGGCUUGGGUUGGGCUAAAUGAAAACCGUGACCAAUCAAAUACUAGUAUCAGGAAAUUGACAGGUCACUGUCCCAAUAGUUGUCAGGGUUUGGGGUGUGUUUUUUUAAAACAACCAAUCAAUGUUGAGAAAAAACACCAAUAAGGACAGCAGAGGUGUGUCAAGGUGUGAAGUGAAAGGGCUCUUGAGGUGUGAAAAUGUCUCCUGACAACAUUCUUCAGGGGAUUACUUGCCAUGGCAACAAAUGGCUGCAUAUACCACGGGGAUAUCCCUUCAGCAAGAUACAUCCGAAUUGGUAUCAUUACGGGAGUUUCCUAACUUGGUGGAAUUAGAAGUUUACCCUCAGUGGAACUAGUAGAUACUUCCGAAAAUCAGUGGAG
Cyprinus carpio (common carp) is the source of this 884-nucleotide long non-coding RNA. The record is from Ensembl. Lineage: Eukaryota; Metazoa; Chordata; Actinopteri; Cypriniformes; Cyprinidae.